Molecule: long non-coding RNA, 659 nt
Organism: Macrobrachium nipponense
Lineage: Eukaryota; Metazoa; Arthropoda; Malacostraca; Decapoda; Palaemonidae
Exons: 4
Source: RefSeq, a predicted model, not a curated record
UUAUCCAGAAUGAUCAUUAUUCAGAGCGACGUGAAAGGCCUACUUUUGUCAAACCCCCAGCGUCUAUUGUGCAGUGACUACCGUGAUUAUCUCUUGGUUAUCCGCGUAAAAGCUCUUCAGGUGGCCGUUAUCAGGAAUGAAAGCUGCAGGUGUUAUCGUGUUGACUUUGGCCUUUAUUCACUCAGGCCACUGCUUCUUCAAGUGCUACAUGGGAAUCCAAGGGGAGACUACAGAAAAGGUCUGCGAUGACGGGGUCACCAAUUGUGUAAAAAUGGACAUACGUUUCAUCGACCAGAGAAUGAUCGUCUACGGCUGCGGUGCGACCGACCUCCCGAGCGAUGGGUGCAGCACGAGAGCAGACGACCGGGGGUCUGUCAUCACCUGCUUUUGCAAGACAGAGCUCUGCAACAGCGCGUGCGCAAAGACGCUGUCCGUCCCUCUCCUUCUCGCAGUCCUCGUCUGGAAGGUGCUCGUCCAGUAGGAGGACCUCCCGUGACGCGUCCUGGGCUGGAAGACGUCCUUAUUCCAUUGGUAGCUUCGUCUCGUUUAGCCGCGGCGCACGCUGACUGCGAGUCAGUUGGCAAGCGUGAAAUGAAUUCACGUACCAGUGGAACUUUAAUCUGCUAUAUUGUUCACGCACAAUAAAGACUUCAAAUAAA